RNAcentral lists this ribosomal RNA (457 nucleotides) under Klebsiella pneumoniae. RNAcentral's name for it is "bacterial SSU rRNA". It matches the Rfam family "Bacterial small subunit ribosomal RNA", at positions 894 to 1351 of the family's 1533-position model. Lineage: Bacteria; Pseudomonadati; Pseudomonadota; Gammaproteobacteria; Enterobacterales; Enterobacteriaceae. The record is from RNAcentral.
UUAAAACUCAAAUGAAUUGACGGGGGCCCGCACAAGCGGUGGAGCAUGUGGUUUAAUUCGAUGCAACGCGAAGAACCUUACCUGGUCUUGACAUCCACAGAACUUUCCAGAGAUGGAUUGGUGCCUUCGGGAACUGUGAGACAGGUGCUGCAUGGCUGUCGUCAGCUCGUGUUGUGAAAUGUUGGGUUAAGUCCCGCAACGAGCGCAACCCUUAUCCUUUGUUGCCAGCGGUUCGGCCGGGAACUCAAAGGAGACUGCCAGUGAUAAACUGGAGGAAGGUGGGGAUGACGUCAAGUCAUCAUGGCCCUUACGACCAGGGCUACACACGUGCUACAAUGGCAUAUACAAAGAGAAGCGACCUCGCGAGAGCAAGCGGACCUCAUAAAGUAUGUCGUAGUCCGGAUUGGAGUCUGCAACUCGACUCCAUGAAGUCGGAAUCGCUAGUAAUCGUAGAUCA